Molecule: RNA transcript, 1698 nt
Organism: Benincasa hispida (wax gourd)
Lineage: Eukaryota; Viridiplantae; Streptophyta; Magnoliopsida; Cucurbitales; Cucurbitaceae
Gene name: BRISC complex subunit Abro1-like protein
Source: RefSeq, a predicted model, not a curated record
GGAUCCCUUUGGUAGUGAGGAUGAUAAAUGUGAAUCCGCCAUGGAAGACGAUUCCUUGCAGAAGGUUGCGAUUUCAGGCCCAAUCUUAGCCUCUUUGAUCCAACGCUUCUCCUCCUCCUCCGGCGCCGUCGACGGCCUUCUUUUCGGCCAUGUCUCCGACGUUACCCCCUUAUCCCUCUCCGAUGAUUCAUCUUCUUCAACCAACACCGAACCAUCACUACGCGUCGCCACCGUCACCGGAUUUCUCUGCUCCGGUACCACCAAUAGCUUCUACGACUCUCUCGGACGUGUAAACUCGCAAUCGCUUAACCGCCUUCUCGACCGACAUCAGACCGACGGUCAAGCUCAACCCCACGAUUCUUUGCUAGGUUGGUUUGCCGGCCGCCGGAGGACUCAGCUUCGACCUUCCAUGCGUGAAUACUUAGUGAGUUCCUCUUUACCUUCGAUGAAGCCAUUUUCGUUUCCUGUUAAAGACGCUCCCACCAAUAUAAUCCCUAGUGUGUUUCUGCUUCUGACUUCGCCGCUAUCUGAUCAAAUUAUCCACACACACGAGUACCGCGCUUUCCAAUUUCGGUCUUCCAAUGAGUUCUUUGAGCCGAAAUCCAUUGACAUUGUGAAUAUUGGGCCGGCAUUUCGUGGUCACUAUGGAUCGUUUACCCCUAAUUCUCCUUUACCCCAUUUGCUUUGCGAGAUGAGAGCUUCUCCGAUGAAUGAGGAUAAGAAUGAUGAGAAUUUGAAUCUGAUGAAGCAAAACUCGAAAGAUCAGAAGCAAAUGAAUAUGUGCGCUGAAGGGUUUGAGGUUGGGAACUUGACCCGAUUACUGGGUUCUGAGGCAGCAAAUUAUACUGCUGGGUUGGAAGAUUUAUACGAAAAAAUGCUUGCCAAGACUGAGUGCUUGGCGAGGCUCGUUGAGAAGAGUUCUGCUCAGGUUCUUGAACAGGUAUUCAUUCGCUUCUAUAUGAAUGUACCCUUGAGGACUAACAGCUAAGCUACCAAUUAGGUGUGCUUGUUAGGAAAACCACAACAGGAAGUUAAGAUAUAAAGUUGUGAGGUCCCCUGGAUCUGAGUAAGAAAUUUGUUCAUACUACCGGCGUUUUUUUGUUCAUGUUUGAUAUGGUAUCGCUGAUCUAUUGUAUUUGACUCAUUGGCUUUGCAUUUCUAAUUUUUGCUUUCUGGGUUCUAAUGCAAAUUCUUUCGUGUUUUAUUAAGCACCCAGAUAAAUGUACAAGUCACCAAACCAUUGUUUUUAUCCAUGAUGUAGGCAAGAAUCAUUAGGAACCAAGUAAAACUGUUCCAUUUAGGUGAAAAACAAGUAGAGAAACAAGAUCCUGCAACCUCUACUCUUUAUCUAAUUUCUAUUUCUUCAUCUUCAUCUAAGUUUGGGAAGCAGGGAUUGCAAGAAGUCGACCUUGGAAUGAAACCGCAGACUUUUGGCAUCAAGACCUGAAUGCUGCAUGCUGUUGACAAUACAAUGGUGACUUUCUGAGCCGUAUGGAGCUACCAAGCAAUCCUGAGAAGUCCUAGGAAUGGCCCUAAGUUUAGGCAGUUGUUUGUUUUGGUGGACAUCAUCAAAGAUUGAAUGAGUUGUUGUGUAUGAGGUUCUCCUUCUAUAGUGCCAUUCCCUACCUUUUAUCACUUGAAGAACCUACUCUGUCGGAUAUGAUUUCAUAUAUUCCAUACAAAGUGUUCUGUUCUUGA